CAAACGCUGAUGGCGUGCUUCAUACAUGCAAGUCGAGCGAGAACCCGGUGCUUGCACCGGUGGACAGCGGCGAACGGGUGAGUAACACGUAAACAAUCUGCCCUUUAGUUGGGGACAACCAUCCUAACGGAUGGCUAAUACCGAAUAUUGUUGAGAAUUCGCAUGUUUUUUCAACGAAAGGCUUCGGCCGCUAGAGGAUGAGUUUGCGUCCCAUUAGCUUGUUGGCGGGGUAACGGCCCACCAAGGCAACGAUGGGUAGCCGGCCUGAGAGGGUGAUCGGCCACAUUGGGACUGAGAUACGGCCCAGACUCCUACGGGAGGCAGCAGUAGGGAAUUUUGCGCAAUGGAGGAAACUCUGACGCAGCAACGCCAUGUGAGGGAUGAAGCAUUUAGGUGCGUAAACCUCUGUCGAUAGGGAAUAACAACCGCUUGCGGUUUGAAUGUACCUAUAAAGGAAGCACCGGCUAACUUC
RNAcentral lists this ribosomal RNA (472 nucleotides) under uncultured bacterium. Its description in RNAcentral is "bacterial SSU rRNA". It matches the Rfam family "Bacterial small subunit ribosomal RNA", at positions 30 to 504 of the family's 1533-position model. The record is from RNAcentral.